CUGACUCAGGGAGGUAGUGACAAAAAAUAACUUAGUCGGGCCGUUUUCGGUCUGACUUUAGGAAUGAGAACAAUUUAAAUCCCUUAUCGAGGAUCAAUUGGAGGGCAAGUCUGGUGCCAGCAGCCGCGGUAAUUCCAGCUCCAAUAGCGUAUAUUAAUGUUGUUGCAGUUAAAAAGCUCGUAGUUGGAUUUCUGGGUUCUUCGCUAGCUUUGGUCCGCAAGGGCUUCAGUGGGCUGUUUGAAUCCAUCCUCAGGGGGACUCAUGCUGGUAUUCAUUUAUCGGUGUAGGAACGCCUGUCGUUUACUGUGAACAAAUUAGAGUGUUCAAAGCAAGGUGUACUUGAAUACAUUAGCAUGGAAUAAUAAGAUAGGACUUUGGUGGUUCUUUCGAGAUAUUUUGUUGGUUUGCACGCCAAAGUAAUGAUUAAUAGGAGCAGUUGGGGGUAUUCGUAUUCAAUUGUCAGAGGUGAAAUUCUUGGAUUUAUAGAAGACGAACUACUGCGAAAGCAUUUACCAA
This 516-nucleotide ribosomal RNA is filed under the name uncultured dictyochophyte. Its description in RNAcentral is "SSU rRNA". It matches the Rfam family "Eukaryotic small subunit ribosomal RNA", at positions 451 to 961 of the family's 1831-position model. The record is from RNAcentral. Lineage: Eukaryota; Dictyochophyceae.